Molecule: non-coding RNA, 90 nt
Filed under: Chroococcidiopsis thermalis
Lineage: Bacteria; Bacillati; Cyanobacteriota; Cyanophyceae; Chroococcidiopsidales; Chroococcidiopsidaceae
Also listed under: 1 other name
Description: Glutamine-I sequence
Rfam family: Glutamine riboswitch aptamer (glnA leader)
Source: RNAcentral
AUCGUUCAUCUCUACAAUUUUUUCAAAUUCUGUCUUCUGGCAGAUGUGAUGUGGAGACGGAAGUAGGGAGCCAUCCCGAAGGAACGCGCC